Molecule: long non-coding RNA, 1231 nt
Organism: Callithrix jacchus (white-tufted-ear marmoset)
Lineage: Eukaryota; Metazoa; Chordata; Mammalia; Primates; Cebidae
Source: RefSeq, a predicted model, not a curated record
GAUGAUCUGAAAAGAAAGGUAAGGGAAAAGAAAGAAUUUAAAAUCAUGUGGGAUUCCAGUAUCCAGUGACAAUGAUGGUGUACCUUUUGCAGCGUGUAUUUCAAGGUUUUCAAUACUUAGGGACAUACCUACACAUUUGCGUACAUUUGCCGACCCCUUAGCUUUUCUCAGGAGAAUAAUACUCAUUGACCCAUCUAUCAAUCAAUUCCCGUUGCUUCUCACCCUGGAGUGUACUAUAUAAAGUAGCCCAGAUAAGAAGCAGCACAAUAGCAAAUCAAAGUGUGCAAAUGUCUGCAUGUGUGUGUGUGUGUGUUUUGCCCAACUGUUGCUUGGUACCCUAGAGUGUACUACAUAGAAUUGCUCUGAUAAGAAGCAGCUCAAUAGCAAACCAAAGUCUGCGAAUGUCUGCCUUUCUGUGUGUGUGUGUGUAUGUGUGUGUGUGUGUGUGUGCCCAAAUUGUUGCUGAUCUUCUUCUUUGCCCACACUAAUGUAAUAUUCGAGACAUUUCUUUCUCCACAAGCUGUUAUAGGGCAGUCUCAUGACUCCAUUUUAUUAAUGGUUGCUUUAGAAGUUGACUGCUUAGAUCCUGGAGGUAAUCUCAAGGGCUUUCUAAAUAAAUUUUUGGAUGUCAAGUAACACACAUUUAACUCAGAUGAUCUUAAAUAUACUUUCCAAAAUUUGUUCUGACCCCUGCCUGCUCCUGCCUCUUUCUCUUACUAUGGCGCUUCUUAGGACUUCUCACCAUUGAUUUCCAGUUAGCUGCCUUCCAGCUACGUUGUGGGAUUGCAUUUUCUGGCCUUCCUGAGAUUGGGUGACUGAUUCUAGCCAAUGAGGUACAGCAUUCAAUCACUGGUACAAGACACUCUAGAGGACUGUGGCUCCCACAAAUUUCAGUCAGCGUGAGGGGAUACAGAGCAGAACUCCCUACUGCCAAGACGGACCUGGAAUAUGACGAGCACUAAACACUGGUUGUUAUGGUUUUUGAGUAACCCUCUGCUCCAAGAAGUUAUCAGUUCUUAUCCACCCUCAGAAAGCAAGUCCUGUGUAUUAAAACGUAAUCAGAUUAAGAGAGAAACCUAAUCCGACUCACCUUAGAAUGUGCUUCCUACCUCAGGAAAAUUGGAGAUAAGAAGAACUCACCCUCUUUUAGGCAACCGUAAGCUUCAGAUUUCAGAGAAUAAUAAAAAAGGAAAAUCAAUCAAACAAACAAAAUAUCCUUCAGAUUACUCCU